AACGAACGCUGGCGGCAUGCUUAACACAUGCAAGUCGAACGAGACCGCCCGGCCUAGGUGCGCUCGUGUGGUUAACGCGGGGGAACUUGCACGUAGGUUCGGAAUAACUGCCUGUAAGGUGUGCUAAUAACGGUGAAUGUCAUCGCGCCAACGAUGUCUCGCCUUAGGGUGGGCCCGCGUUGGAUUAGCUAGUUGGUAGGGUAAAAGCCGGCCAAGGCCACGAUGCAGAGCUGGUCGGGGAGGAUGAUCAGCCACACUGGGACUGAGACACGGCCCAGACUCCUACGGAAGGCAGCAGUGGGGAAUAUUGGACAAGGGGGGAAAGCCUGGUCCAGCCGCGCCGCGUGAGUGAUGAAGCCCUUAGGAUUGUGAAGCUCUUUUACCCGGAACGAUAAUGACAGUACCGGGAGAAUAAGCUCCGGCUAACUCCGUG
This 433-nucleotide ribosomal RNA is filed under the name uncultured bacterium. Its description in RNAcentral is "partial 16S ribosomal RNA". It matches the Rfam family "Bacterial small subunit ribosomal RNA", at positions 29 to 507 of the family's 1533-position model. The record is from RNAcentral.